AUACGUAGGUGGCAAGCGUUAUCCGGAAUUAUUGGGCGUAAAGGGAGCGCAGGCGGUUUAUUAAGUUUAUGGUGAAAGUUCGGGGCUCAACCCCGUGAUGCCAUAGAAACUGGUAGACUUGAGUGCAGGAGAGGUUAGUGGAAUUCCAUGUGUAGCGGUAAAAUGCGUAGAUAUAUGGAGGAACACCAGUGGCGAAGGCGGCUAACUGGCCUGUAACUGACGCUGAGGCUCGAAAGCGGGGGGAGCAAAUAGGAUUAGAUACCCUAGUAGUCCACGCCGUAAACGAUGGAUACUAAGUGUUGGAGAAAUUCAGUGCUGUAGUUAACGCAAUAAGUAUCCCGCCUGGGGAGUAUGCGCGCAAGCGUAAAACUUAAAGGAAUUGACGGGG
This 388-nucleotide ribosomal RNA is filed under the name uncultured bacterium. Its description in RNAcentral is "partial 16S ribosomal RNA". It matches the Rfam family "Bacterial small subunit ribosomal RNA", at positions 523 to 918 of the family's 1533-position model. The record is from RNAcentral.